UCUCCAUCCUAUCCUAUUUGUAGAUGAACACGAGCACACUGGAUUCUCCCUCCAGGUUUCCCUCCAACCCAGAAGGAAGAAACAACCCUCAAAAAUGGAUUUCAUAGGAACCCACAAUCCAACCCUCCUGCUCUCUCUCUCUCCCUCUCCCUCUCUCUGAAUUGAAGGGCAACUGGUUCAUGUCAUCUCUUUCGCGAAUGAAAUCACUAUUCACUCCGACUUUCAUGUGCUUUACCCCUAAUCUCUCCAAAGCCCCACCUUUCUUUCUCUGCAACCCCAAAUCUCUGCAAAACCCUAGUUAUUUCUCCCAUGUAAAACCCCUCAUUUGUUGCCACAGUUCCCCAAUUUCUUCAGACUCCAUCCACACUUCCACUUCGAAUACGGACGCGUCUCAGCCCCCUACCGGCGAAAUCCACCUCAUCGUUGGCCCGAUGUUCGCCGGAAAAACCACCACUCUCCUCCGUCGGAUCAAGUCCGAGCAUAUUCAUGGAAGUUUUCAGGCCAAGGUUGCCAACAAUUCCAUCCAUUUGGAUAGGACGCUAAGAGGUCUAUGCUUAUCAGGAAGAUUGAAAGAAGCAAUUGGGUUGCUAUGGCAUGCAGGAUUACAGGUGUAUCCCGAAACCUAUUCUCUUCUUUUACAAGAAUCCAUAUUUAGGAAACAGUAUAGAUGGGGAACUAGAAUCCAUGCUCAGAUGGUUGUUGUGGGCUUUAUUCCCAAAGAAUAUUUGAUAACCAAAUUGCUGAUAUUGUAUGCUAAAGCUGGGGAUCUAGUAACGGCGAGCCUUCUGUUCAAUGAGUUGCCAAACAUAAGCUUAAUUUCAUGGAAUGCAAUAAUUGCUGGGCAUGUGCAAAAUGGCCUUGGAGAGAUGGGAUUGAAUCUUUAUUAUAAGAUGAGACAAAGUGGUUUGAUGCCUGAUCAAUACACAUUUGCAUCAGUAUUCAGAGCUUGUGCCACUUUAGCUACACUAGAGCAGGGAAAGCAAGCCCAUGGCAUCUUCAUCAAAAGUCAGAUUAGUGGAAAUGUUGUAGUUACUAGUGCCCUCAUGGAUAUGUACUUCAAAUGCAGCAGUCCCUAUGAUGGGAAUCUGAUAUUUGAAAAAUCCAUACACAAGAAUGUGAUUACCUGGACUGCUUUAGUACAUGGAUAUGGACAGAAUGGAACAGUUGAAGAGGUUUUAAAAUCCUUUCAGAGGAUGAUAAGUGAAGGUUUCAGGCCAAACCAUGUUACUUUUCUUGCUGUUCUUUCUGCUUGUAGCCAUGGAGGUUUAGUUGAUGAAGGUUGGCGGUAUUUCUCAUCAAUGAUGAGGCAUUAUGGCAUUCAACCAAGAGGGAAACACUAUGCAGCAAUGGUUGACCUUUUAGGGCGUGCUGGGAGGUUACAAGAAGCAUAUGAGCUUGUUCAAAACUCACCAUUUGCAGAACACUCUGUUACAUGGGGUGCUUUGCUUGGUGCUUGUCGAAUUCAUGGUAAUAUGGACAUGGUGAAGCUGGCCGCAAAGAAGUUUUUUGAGUUGGAACCUGAGAAUGCUGGGAAGUAUGUUGUUCUAUGUAAUGCUUAUGCUACGUUUGGUUUGUGGCACAGUGUUGCAGAGAUGAGGGGACAGAUGAGGGAUUUUGGGAUGAGGAAGGAGCCUGGUUAUAGCAUGAUUGAGAUUCAAAGGGGUGUCCACUUCUUCUUUAUGGGGGAUAAUUCUCAAAAACAAACUGAGCAGAUAUAUGAAUUAAUCAAAGAUAUGACUUACAUUUUGAAGGACGCUGGCUAUGCUCCUGACUUAAGUAGUUGGGAGUGUGAGGGAGUAGAAGUGACUUGCUAGUGCCUUAUUUAACUUGUGACAAAAGCUUAAUGCCUAAACCUCGGGAGAUUUUGAAGCCUAAACCUUAAAAUUUAAUGGUGUUGUCUCAUGGCAAUCUGUAUUCUAGUGAGGCAAAAUAAAUAUUGUGAUUGUGCCCCACUUGUUAUUUGGAUAAUAUGGGACAAACUAAGCUGAUGGCACAUCAUAUUCUAUUGAUGACAUUCCUUCAACAAAUAAAAUUGGAGUAGAUAUGAAAGAGAACAUCAUGCAGAUACUAAAACUUACCCACUCUUCUUAGUGGAAGAAAAGGUGAUUGGCUGUUUGUUUGCAAUAUAUAAGUUAUUUAUUGAUAGGAGGGAAUUCUGAUCAAAGAUAUAAAUGUUAUAAGGAUUUGGCUUUACUGAAAAGAAAAUUCUCAAGGGGAUUGACUUCUUUCUUGGAUUGGGGGUGGAGGGGUCGUGUUCUGCACAUAAUAGUUUAUGAAGUAAUGGAAAGGUGGACAAAGCUUAUGUUGGGCAUACCCUGGAAACUACACAGCUAGAAUGGCAUUAUCAUCUAACAAUAUGUGAAUCAAGAUUCAAAUAGCUUCAAGAAGGUUCUGUAGGAAGAUUAAGGUCAACUAUGAAAGGCUCAUACUGGAUGGUGCUAGUGAAGGCCCAGACCCGUUCAUAGAAACCCACAACAAGCACCUCCUGGUAACCUAAGUAUUGAUUACGUCAUCCUAUGGAAUUUAUACUGCAAACUAGUUGAAUAUCUGGCAGGGCAAGAAGAUUGAAUCUUGUUGGGCUUAGUUGACAGCUAUUAGGGAUGGAUCAUCCCAAGCAUUUUCCACCUUUCCUUCAUUGAGGACUGCCUUGUUGAAAAUCAUUGCUUGGCAAAAUGAAAGCUGCUUGGUGGAAACUCUUCUUUCUUGUUUCUUUGACAUCAUCAUGCUAGCAGCAUUUCAUCCUUCAAGUUUUGACCUUCUUCAGGUGCUGCAUGUUCAGGAAUCAGAUUUGUGAUGGCUACUUUGUAGAGGAAGCUCCUAGAAACCUGAUAUUGAUAUGGCUGUGGAUAAUGCCUGUUGGUUAAAAACUUUUUUCCUUAAGUAAUACAUUGAAAUGUAGCAAUAAUAAAAUCAAACAAGGAUACAAGAUAUGGAUUGGACUCCAUUGUGACACAUGAUGGAGAGAAAUUUCCAUGUUGGCCACUGGCAGAUUUGUCUUCCUUUAGGCAAGAGUUUGGUCUCGAUGCUUAUGAAAAGAUGGUGACAGCUAGAUGUGAUUGGUAUUGACGAGGCCCAAUUCUUUGAUGAUCUCUAUGAUUUCUGCCGCAAGGCUGCUGACUGCGAUGGCAAAACUGUUAUAGUUGCUGGUCUUGAUGGUGACUAUUUGAGGAGGAGGUUCGGU
Molecule: RNA transcript, 3181 nt
Organism: Diospyros lotus (date-plum)
Lineage: Eukaryota; Viridiplantae; Streptophyta; Magnoliopsida; Ericales; Ebenaceae
Gene name: thymidine kinase a-like
Exons: 5
Source: RefSeq, a predicted model, not a curated record